AAGCACACUACAUAGCGGUGC
Molecule: microRNA, 21 nt
Filed under: Saccoglossus kowalevskii
Lineage: Eukaryota; Metazoa; Hemichordata; Enteropneusta; Harrimaniidae
Description: sko-miR-2006-3p
Source: miRBase by way of RNAcentral